This 71-nucleotide ribosomal RNA is filed under the name Bacillus haynesii. RNAcentral's name for it is "partial 16S ribosomal RNA". It matches the Rfam family "Bacterial small subunit ribosomal RNA", at positions 1 to 71 of the family's 1533-position model. The record is from RNAcentral. Lineage: Bacteria; Bacillati; Bacillota; Bacilli; Caryophanales; Bacillaceae.
UUCAUGGAGAGUUUGAUCCUGGCUCAGGACGAACGCUGGCGGCGUGCCUAAUACAUGCAAGUCGAGCGGCC